GCUGUCCCGAUUGCAUUACGUGCCACGUUACGAGCAAUUCUGGACAGACUUCCACCAAUCUCCAUCCUAAUUAAAUAUGCCUCCUCGGCUGUCCUCUCUUCCGAAAUUGCGCAGUACAUGAGUUCAUUUGUCUUCUAAAUUUCAUCAUUAUUUGACAGUGCCCUCUCCGUUGAUAAUAUUGCUCUUUGUUUGAUCGUUUUUCAAGUGAUCUGCUCGCAUUCCUUCUAACUACCUGAUUGCUGCAAAUCUGUUUGUUUAGUUUGUUGUUGAUCUUUCUCAAGUUUUCCUUCAAGCCUCUGCUCGAGCUUAUUAGGAUCGGAUGAACAACGCACUCAGUUUUAUAUCGCCGACUUUAAAGGUAGAAGCUCUCAGCUGUCACUCAAGGGAUCUGUUGCAUUACAUUGUUUUGUUAAUUGUAAUUUAAACAUAUUUAUUACAUCAAGAUGAACUUUGAAGUUUGCUUUCCUGCGAAUUCAGAUUAUGAUUGGUGGGGAUUGUAAGAGAUGGUAAUGGUAUUGUCAUGUGGAAUUUAAUAUCUGGCCUUCUGUGUUUCCAUACAAGCUGUAAGUGCUGCCAUUUAGUUCCAUCAACUUUACUUUAGGUGUUAAAGAUGCCUUUUCAUUCAUGCAGGAUUUUUCAUCUACUCUAGUUAGGUAUGGCAUUUGGACAAAGCCUGUCUUUAAUUUCUUCCACGAACAUAAAGGGUUUUGUCUUUCUCUUCAUUGAUCAGUGUUGAUAUUCUAUGCUCAAGAAAGGCAGAGGAUACAACAGCAAGAAGAAGAAAUCUGGCAAGAAGCAGGAGGGAGCUUUCGAGUA
Long non-coding RNA from Nicotiana attenuata, 816 nucleotides. RefSeq lists it as uncharacterized. NCBI's taxonomy places the organism in Eukaryota, Viridiplantae, Streptophyta, Magnoliopsida, Solanales, Solanaceae. The record is from RefSeq and is a predicted model, not a curated record. The transcript is spliced from 3 exons.